This 388-nucleotide ribosomal RNA is filed under the name uncultured bacterium. RNAcentral describes it as "bacterial SSU rRNA". It matches the Rfam family "Bacterial small subunit ribosomal RNA", at positions 29 to 420 of the family's 1533-position model. The record is from RNAcentral.
AUUGAACGCUGGCGGAAUGCUUUACACAUGCAAGUCGAGCGGCAGCGCGGGGCAACCUGGCGGCGAGCGGCGAACGGGUGAGUAAUGCAUCGGAACGUACCCCGUCGUGGGGAAUAACUACCCGAAAGGGUAGCUAAUACCGCAUACGACCUGAGGGUGAAAGCGGGGGACCGAAAGGCCUCGCGCGAUGGGAGCGGCCGAUGCCGGAUUAGCUAGUUGGUAGGGUAAAGGCCUACCAAGGCGACGAUCCGUAGCUGGUCUGAGAGGACGACCAGCCACACUGGAACUGAGACACGGUCCAGACUCCUACGGGAGGCAGCAGUGGGGAAUUUUGGACAAUGGGCGAAAGCCUGAUCCAGCCAUUCCGCGUGAGUGAAGAAGGCCUCGG